UUAUUUUUUUAAUUGCAGUCACGUUUAUUUGCAGCUUCUAUACACACUUUCUAUGUAAUCAAACUUUUCUGACACAUUUUUGAGGGGUUCACAAAAGAAAUUGUCACCAUUUUUACUAAAAAAUAAAUACAAGACUUAAAGUGUUGCACAGCUCUAAAAUAUACAAAGGCUUAGAUUUAAUGUAAACUCUGAAAACAUUUUACAAAAGAAACCAUCUUUGCAACAAUUUAAAAAGUUCAUAUUUACAGAUAUUACAAAAAUACAAAUGGAUGCAAGUCCACUAACCAUAGUCGUUUCCUCCCACGAGUGCCAUACUUACAUUAAAAGAGUAACACUGUAAUCUCUUUUCUGUAUGUUAUAUCACAUCAACCUUUCUAAGAUAAGUUGUAAAUUGUGAUUCAACCCUUCAGUGGCUAUUGGACUAGCAAUGCAUUGGGGUCUAUGCACUAAGCUUCAAGUUAUGGUGACUCUAGAAUACUUGCAAAUUUAAAGCCAAAUUAGCAGAGUUGGCAGUAAUAUUCAACUAAGCUAGUUUAGCAUACAUUUCUCAAGAUGUGUUUAAAGUCACUAGAACUUGCUGUUUAGUUAAUAACUCUCAGUGUAACAGAAUGCACUUGAUUGCUUAACUAGUGGGUAUUAAGACAACUUGCUUCCAGCAUCUGGCAUGAAAUCGGUCACUAAUGCAGCAAUUUAUACCGCAAACCUAAUGAUUUGGCAAGUACUUUUCUGUUCACUAUUCCUUCUCAUCAUAAACCUGCUUAAACAUAAAGUCAAAUAGAAAUGUUAGAAGGAAAGGAAAAAACAGUUAUGUUGUUAAAAAAAAAUUAUUUAAAAAUCUGUUUCAUCAGUGCAAACAGAACGUUAAUUUCAAAGGAUGGUGAACAAGCUUGAAAUAGGCAGUCACUGGGAAUCACAAGCAUGGGUCCAGAGCUCUUUUAUACGUUGUCUACUUUGGGAAUAUCUCAAGACUUGACUGCCGUGACAGAUUUGCUCCAGUUAAGAUCCAAAACACUUAAAUAUGUUUUUCAAAGGAACACUCCACAGCCCAAAUACAAAAUAAAUUAAAAAUUACUGUUUAGUAUAUACACCCAAAAUGAAAACAAGCAUGCAUUUAAUUAUAAUUUUUUUCCCUUGGGGGUAUAUCUAAAAAAACAGCUUGAAAAAGGUGCAGAUCUCUUGUAUUCAGCAUUUGCAAGCCCUCCUCUUUUUUCUAAUCACAGACUUCCCAAUGCAGCUCAAUGAGACGUCUUUGCAAGUCAGGUGCUCUGAGCAAUUGCUGCCUCAUGAGUUUAGCUCCACUGAGCUAACCAAACCAAGAGGUAACAGCACCUGAUGUCAAGGGGGUGUAAUCAGAUUAAUUUAUAAAAGUGUCAACUUCUAUUGAAAUCAGAAUUGUUUUUUUUUUAAAUCACACAUAGAGCUUUCCAGCAAGCUAAAGUGCUUUAGGGGUCUGGAGUGUCCCUUUAAUUGUUGAACUUUUCCUAGUUUUGUGUUAAAGGAACACUCCAAGCACCAUAACUAUUACAGCUUGCUGUUGUGUUUAUGGUGCCAGGAGUGACACAGAGACAUCCUACGGUAAUUUGUCAAACUGUUUUAGUAUACUUGGGUCCCCAUGACGCCCAUGCUGCAUCCCCUCUUCUCCUGCAGGAGAAGCAGGAUGUCUCAUGACAGCUAAGCAUGGCCAAUGCAGGCCUGUGCUCAUUGGCUGAGAGUGCUUAGCUCAUACUUAAUGCAGUACUGCAUGGUCCUGUUUAGCUCAGUAGAGGAGAAUCCUAAAAGCAGUUAAACAAAUUAAACUGGGUUAGCAACAGGACACUGCUGAUACCAUAACCACUACAAUUGGUUGUUUUACUUGGAGUGUUGUUUAAAGCAUUGUUAAAAGAGAUUUGCUGAGAAUAAAGACAUUAAAAUAAUGUCCAUAUUUUUGUUUAUAUUUUCAAACAGAAUUCCUACAAAGAAUUUCUUAAAAACGAUGCUGCUAUCAUUACCUAUAUGGCUAGAGGAUUUGCGGUUUGUACUUGAAGUCUAAGCAAAAGGAACUGAAAUAUGUUUCUCUUUAACUGGGUAUGUUCUAACCUGCAAUGUUAUUGUUUGCCUUGUUUAUGAAGUUUAUUCACUAAACUGGAAAUUGUGAACAUUUUUAUGGGAUUAAACAUUUUAGACAGAAUUUGCAAAAAUCUUCAUGUCAGCUUUUUUUCUAGAAAUCUUUCAAUUCACCAGUUAAUUGUCUACAAUUCCUAGUUUAGUGAAUAAACUCUGUAUAUUUUCAAAUAUACAUUUGUCGAUUUUCAUGAAUGCAUGUACCCCAUGAAGGAAUAUUUUCAUAAGCACACUCAAGACACAAUGUUAUUAAGCACCUUGCACCUCUCCGUGUCUUGGUCUCUGCUAGGAAAAAAAAUGUACAUCUUAUGGUAUAUUAUGGAAGCGUACUUAAAGCUGCCCAGUGCAUUACGGCAUAAGUUUUCAAUACAUAUGUACUUGGCAUAUUUGAAAAGCAAUAAAUAAAUACCAUAUGUCAAUAUAAUUAUGUUAAGUCGAACAUUUUUUCUGUAUGAUUAUUGACCCCACCUCUCAAAAAAGUACCACUAUAGGAUGAUGUCUUCUCUGGUUUCAUUAUGUUACUAGCUUUAUUUCUGCUACUUAGGUAAAUAAAUUGAAUUUAGCACUACCACAGUUAGUUAUAUUCACAGUAAAGGGCUGUUAAGAUAGAGCUUGAAAACUCUCUCAUAUUUUGAACUUGAUUCUUGAAACAGAACAGUCAAAAACAAACAUUUAUAUGGCACUUGCAUGGAACAGAAAGUUUAAUUGUGCUACUUAAGGCUGUGCUUAAACAUAAAAUUCAUUAUAAAAGUGUUGACAGCAAAUUGCAUUAACAAUUAAUAGUCAAAAUACUAUUAGAACUCUUGAAAAUGACCAGUGUUUUAGUUAGAUUUCGAAAUCAUGGAGAUUAGCAUCAGAAUUUAUAAGGUUAUCACUUGUCCUUGAUUUAUGUGUGAUGUGAGAUGCCCUGCAUAAUAUUCAGAAGGGUAAAAGCACAAAGUGAUACCGCAAGUAAUGAUUACCUUGAUUUGCCACAUUAUCCUUUAGCACCAGUUUUGUACCUGUCAAAAUAAUGGUGUCAGUGAUUUUUAUAAUGUACAAAAUAUGUAUUAUAAGGCCUGUUAAACAGAAUAGUUUAGGUAUCAUAACAUUUGAGGAAGGCUAGCACCUUUCAGUAUGAGACACAUACCCAACCAGUUGGUCCACACACACACACAUACAUAUAUAUGUAUAUCAAAAGCAGUCCUGUGCAACACUCGUGCAAAUGGACUACUGAGUGUGCAUAAAGAUGAUGCACACAUAGGAUCUAACCAAGUGCUUACUAAUGACAAGUUGCACCAUAUUUCAGAUGACAAUUGUGGCCAUUUGAGGAACUGAAAGAUGUAAAAACUAAAAACAAAACGUUUGUGUUGUUUUAAAUUCUAUAAAUCAAACCUGGGGGUAACAACUGUUAAGUAGUUAAGUGUGUGUAGUAACAUUAUCAAAGGUAGUGAGGCAGAGAAGUAAUUAACAUCACGCAAAAUAUUGCAUAUUUAAUACUUAUAUGAGCUGAUUUUCUAAAGCAGAAAAUAACAUUUCAGUUAAAUUGCAGGCUGGGUAACUACUGUUUCAUCUGGUUAUCACUUUAAAAAUAUUAGUAUGGAUUAAAGGGACUCUCCAGGCACUAGAUCAUUAGUGGUGUUUUGUUGUUUUUGCACGCUCAAUCUUGUAUACAUUUUGCAAACACUACAAUAAAUGUUUGAAAGCACACUACAAUUUAACCCUGCCUCGUUUAUGCUCAGUCUCAACUUUCCCAUUCUAAAAUAAUUCCUUCUUGCUUGUUACUAUAAACAAUCUGUUGCCUUGAAAGAACUCUAGUGGCAGUCACCCAGAAAGCCACUAUGGGAGCUACCUGUCUCAGUGCAGUACUGUGUGAGUAAAAUCACAGAGAACUAGGGCAGACACCUAAACAGCCAUCCCAGCACUAUAAUAUAUACAGGUUUGUAUUACUAACACUAUAGUGUUCCUUUAAAUGAGUAGCAUUGUUUUCCACAUAAAAAGCAUGCAGUAACUUGUUCUCUCAUAUGAACAGUUUUUGAGGGAUGGAGCAUUUAUAAAGAUGUAUAUUAUUUAUAUUCUACCUGUUUCAAAAGGGCAUUCUUUGUUUCAUCCCAGCAUAACCAACAGUAAUGCUUGCAAAUUACAGCCUAAACUAAUCUUCAGUGCACAGUAAUAGGACUGAAGCAGUCUUGAGCUUACAGACACACGUAUUUGCAUAUUUCAACUACUGCUCCUAUCAACACUGAAAGCAUCUGUCUAAAAUAAUAUAUUUCGUUUUAAGAUUUGCUAUCCUUUUAUAAUUAUUCAUUAUACUGUACACAUGAGUAUCAAAGCAUUUUGUUACUCUCAUCUUUAAUCUCGCAAAAAUAUAAUAUGUAAUUAGCACGUUAAAGAAAUGAUAUCAUUAAAUAUCUAUUAUACGGCCUCAAUCCUGUUUUGCAUUAAACAGUGCCUGACACUGAACGCUAACCUAAAUGUCUUACGGACUUGGAUUAAAAACCCAUAACUAUUGCAAGGGCAAUACAUUUUAUUUAGCAUUUAUAUAUCUGGGUGAGGAAAGUAAUUGUAACUAAGGACCCUGAAUUAUAAAAACCAGAAACACAAAAUAUUUUAAGCUAAUCUGAAAUCUGAUAUAGAUAAAAGAUUUCAUAGGCUGAGUUCAGGUCCCAAAAUGCAGUCCUGAACAACAAACAGGUACAAUAUCAGUAUCUCUAUCGAUCACUCAAUUAGUCAAGCUGUAAUAUUAGUUAGUUAGACAAAGUACUCUAAAUGGUCAACAAAACAGAUAUUUAAGUAGUAUUAAUACAAUUUAAAGAAGAUGUAAUAACUUUCUUUUCAUUGUCUAAGAAACCCAUUAAGAAAGUUAAUAUAUUCUGAUAAUUAAUUCUGACUGGACAUAAUGACAGCUGUCCAAAUUUUCUAUUUAUGCUCAGGAAAGAUAGAAAGAUUUUAUUGGUUGUGUGCUGAGAAAAUUACCAACAUUUUGCAGGUACAUGGGAAAAUAUUGAACAAUUAAGCACUGCACAUAUUCAUGUAAAUUAAUUGGAAAUUCAUGAUCUUUUGGUUAGGUGAUGUCUAUUAUAUGAUGCCAUAAAAUAAGUUUUACUUUUAGCAAUAAAAUAAAACUAUUCAUAUGUUUAUACUUCUAAUUUCUUAAAUAUAUAUUUAUAUGUUCUUGACAUGAUCUUUUUUGUACAUUUCCCCCCCAAAAAAUUAUAAAAUAUGUUUAGGUGAUCAAGCUCUGUAAAAUCAAUGAAUGGCAAUGGAUUUAAGUACAUUAAACAAAUAUUAUCUUGGCCAUUUUAUACCAGUUAAGGUAAUGGUUGUCAAAUUAAUCUUAAAAGAGAAUCACACAAUGAUAUUUAUCAAGCUGUAGAUGAGUCAAAAAUCUCAAGUAUUUCAGUUGACUCAUGUUGAGAAGAAUAAUAGCUAUUAGAUUGUGACCUUGUUAACACUCUUUUUUUUUUUUUUUACUUUUAAAUUGAUCAGCAAAAUAUCUAACAGUUGAACAGAUGAUUAGAUACUUGUAUUGAUACAUGUAAAUGUGGUUAGACCCAGUCAUACGUGUGUUCUAUCAUUAUAGAAAAGGCAGCUACAUCAAUUAAUAUUCUUCUUUUAAAUGUAGUAAUUUCAAUAACAACAAAUACAAGACUUUUAAUAACAUAAUUAUGGACUGUUAAUAGCUUAUAGUGAAGGUCUGAUAAUGUCUUUAUAUGUAGUUGAGUCUAGAGGAAUGCAUGGCUGUGGCUGGGACUACUAUGAAUGGCUGAUUUGAAAAUAAUUAUUUACUAUGCGUGCAUUUCUUUUUAUAAUGUUAAAUCAUAUUUAAUUGAACAUCUCCAUUUUUACUCCUAACUUUGGGGGCAAUGACUGGAUAAGAACACCAAGGUCAGAAAAGUGUGGUUUUAGACUGUCAAUUCUACUCAAAGUUGGAUGGGCUAAUGAGGAGGUUAAUUUCCAGGUUAACUAAGAGGAAGGCCAAGGGAUAAGCUGUAAAUGGUGUUUGAAAACAGUUUGGACAGGACAUUCAGAAGGUUUGCACCACGACAACUACAUUGAACAUGGUGGUUAUGGUGAAUAUAGUGUGCCUAACAUUCUAUUUAGGAGCAAGCAAAUGAGAUUGGUCUUCCUAGCACUGCACUUGUUUUAAAAAUAACUGUUACCUUACUUAUAUUGAAGAUAAUAAUUGUGAUUAAAUAUUGCACUAAUUGGUAAAAUACAUAAAAGUGCAUUGAUUAGCAGACUGCCAGUUUUAGCAGGAAGAAACCAAAACACUUCACUGACAUGAAAAAUGCCCUUUAGUUUGCUCGUUUGAAAACUACAAUAUAUAUGUCUAAAUACACCACCCUGUGCAAACAAAUCAUUAUCCUAUCAUAUGUAACCCUCAACACUCAAUCUACACAUACAGUCACACACAAGCAGUCUGUACAUAUUAUAGAGCAGGGGUGACCAACAGCUGUUGUGGGGCUACAGAAUAAAGUAUGUGUUCCAUACUUCCACAAUUCAUGUAGGUUAGACAAUUAGACCAAAUGCAAAAAGGCUGGCAAAAUAUCAAGGCAUUUAACAUCCUACAAUAACUGGAGAGAUACUUAUUGGGCACCCCUGGCAUGAUGGCAUAAAAUCCAACCUCUCAUCUCUAUAUACAUAAAACUUGCAACAACUGAAAAACACUUGCAAUUUUGCCUUCGUUUAACCACUCUCACUACAUUUCAAUAACUUUAUUAUUCCUUUAAAAUAAUCAGAAUCUAGUAUCCUAGUUAUAAAUUAAGGAACAGAAAACCGCAUCCAUCUAAUCUCAGUAAAUGACAAUUGAAUCUUGUUUUAUACAUAUAUAUUCACGCUAUUGCCUUUUCAGUGUUUUGGGCAUUUAUAAUUAUCAAUGCAGUAUAGAGAAAAUUAAUGUAUGGAUAGAUAAUCAUAUUGAUACUCAUUUACUCAGUAGAAAGUGAAUUUGGGGGCUGCAGAGAUGAAGACAUUUUUCAUCUGAGCUGUAUACCCAGCUUGGAUAUUUUUGUGAAUUUGAAUUUCAGUUUCCAAAAUCCACCAUUUUGUUAAUUAACCCAUUAGCAUAACACAUAUAAUAUUGAUGUGGUUUCCCUUUAUUUCUCCUAGAAAAACUUAAAUGCUUUAAAUUUUAACCUGGAAUGAUGAGUUAGCGGCUGACCAGACGAUGCAAAAUGCUUGCAUGAAAAUACAUGCUUUGGAAAAUAGCUUUCGUUGCUGCCAUAUAUAGUGAUAUUAAUCAUAUACUGUAUGUCCUUCAUUAACCCUUUUGAAUGCUGGAGAAGCAAGAAAUAUAAAUAACGGUACUUUCAGUCACAGGAUCAUGUAACAAUAAUUUUAUAUUGGGAUGUAGUGUACCCACAUUAGUACACUUGGCAUUCACUCAUUUAACAAUUUAUUAGACUGUGCAUACAGUGUUACUGUGGUUAGAUACUGAAUGUCCAUUGUGUUGAUACCCAUACCUCUGCUCUUGGUUUAACAGCUGGGCUAAGGAGAAAUAAUUCAAUGUCAGAAAGGGAAGUUACUAUUUCCUGACCUUUUUUAAAGGGUGUCCUUACCUACUUCAAGGCCAGAAACAACCUAAUUUCUGCUUGGUACUGAACCUUUUACCGAGGCCAUUGGAGGUGAUUUUUAGGUGUAGAAAAUAAAAAAAGAUUCCAGGUUUGAUAAUAUCUCAAACAAGGUAACUGAUCAGUGCCCUAGAGCACUGUCACAUACUUAUGAACAUCUGCCAUCACUUUGUGUACCAAAAAUAACCUUUCCAGUUCAGUCAAAGCCAAACCAUGCCAUACACAUCCCUUUCAACUUGCUGAACUCUUUGUACCUCCAUAAACAUAUGUAAUGUAAACAUUACUCCCAUUUGAUUUCAAUAAUAAAAAACAAUUUGUCGAUUGACAUUUUUGUCUUAUUCGUUAACAAAAGUGCAAGUCAAUCCUUGACUUUUUGUUUGUGCAAAACUUCAAGUAAUUUAAUGUCAUUUAGCUUACAAAUCUCUGCGAUGUCUGUCAAUGCACUUUCUGUAUCCUUCUAUUCAAGUUUACAGUUAAGAAGUUAAUGAAAUGAAAUGUGUGACUAACAUUUCUAGAAGCUGGACUAGCAUCAUCAGUUUUGUUACCUCCAGCAGUCAAAUAGUUAAAUAAUAUUUCAACCAAAGCGGCAGAGGUGCAAUUCUAUUUCUGAUAGUUAGGAUCUGUACAUUCCAAAUGCAUAUAUGAGCUUGAUUUUUUUCAUUUUUGCUUUUUUUUUUUUUUUAAUAAUACUUACAAGUUUGGUUCAGUUUUGUUUUGUUGGCCACUAAAUUUAUGUAUUGUAUCCCACUUACUUCUUUACAAUUGUUUUCCAACAGUAAAAAUCCCACGUAACACACAGGUCACUUGACAACGAACCUUCACUUAAAAUUAAUGGAAAAAAAGAAUCAAAGUUGUUCAGUUGGACUUUUUAUACAAAUAGACUGAUUUAUAACAUAAUUUUUAAUGUUUUGCUUAUUUUCAGUUUUUUUGUUUGUUUUUUAUUGAGAGUCACGUAACAAUGUAACAAGCAAUAAUGGAUUAGUGUAUUUAAAUAAUAUAAGGUACACUAAAUCUCUAAAACUAGCAUAAAAACAAUCUCCCCAAUUGCAUUUCCUGUGAACUUCAAUAACUAGUGUUAUGUAUGUGUAUGUGUAUACUUGAUUUGAGUUUCUCUUAGGGACACUCAGCCAGUUAAACACUGAGUAAUCUGCAUGCCUAUCUUACUAUGAAGAAUGAGGCAGCUGGCUAGGGAGUCAAUGUGCAGGGGCCAACCUGGUAAUGUUCACAGUGAAAAUGCCAUGAGACAACCCAGAUAAUGACUGUCUAGAUUUUCCUUUAUUGAAUAUAAUGGAUCAAUAAAAGCAGUUUUAUGUAAUAAUGUGUCUAUUUGUUAAUGAAUAGAAAGGUCUCACACAGUCUGGUUGGGUAUGAUUUGAUGAAUACUAAAUAUUUGUUGGUUCUGCUAUCAAUAUCAAGCAAGUGCUAUACUUGACCUUUUUAUAUUAACAUUGAGCUAUUGUGUAAUUUGUCUUGUUCUUCAAGGAAAAUAUUUUCAUUUUCAUUUCUAUUGCCACUAGCAUGCAAGAUACAUAUUUUCAUUAUGAAUUUUUGAAAACAUGUUUUAUUUUUUCAUGGUAUUUAAUAUUUGUGCUCUUCCAAAUUCUGUUAUAUUUUCAUUUUCAUGGCACUUCAACCAGUCUACUUUCCAAUUGACAAACCUUUUAAAAGUUCCUUUUUUACAGAAAUAUUCCAUGAAAUCUUCUGUGAGUACUCCACUGGGAACUGUGGGGACUGGCUACAUGCAAGUUCUGUACAAUUGUUAUAGUCUAUCAGUAGCAGAACAUCAAACUAUAACCAAGGAAGAUUUCCUUCUAAUCACACAUUGAUAUAUAUGUAUAUAUAUAUAUAUAUAUAUAUAUAUAUAUCUAUAUCUCACACACACACACACACACACGCAUGCACAUCUUAUGUAUUGUGGCCUUGGAGCUUCCAAUAUAUUACUGAUUAAACAUGUCUCACAAUGUUAAUUAAAUAUUUUAGACCUGGCUCACAAUGACAUCCUUUCCAGUUGCCAGUAUUCCUCUCUCUUGUGUUACUUUUAUGUAAAUACUUUGCCCAACUGCCCAAAGGAAACUCACAUUGUGAAAAAAAUGAAAAUAAAAUAAAAAUUACAGUACUUCCAAGAUUAAUUAUACAUAAUAAAACCUUAAAAAAGUAUGUUUUGAUUUCUAAAAAUGUACAAAAACAAAUUUGAGGCUCUUAAUUAUUAUCUUUGUUAAUAAUGGACAUGUAUUACUGUGACUCAGAAUAAGAAGAUGGUAUUCACAGAAUACAAUUACCUUUUCACCUCUGUUUUCCUCUUAACCAAUCAGUGCUGCAACAUAUUGUUUAGCAGAAGGAGAGUUAAACUCUCAAGAAAUUCUAAUGCCUUAUACUCAAUGGAUGCAUAUCCACAUUUAGUCUAAUAUUCAUAUUUACAAUUUUAUCAAAAAUAUUAUAUUUACAGUUUUUUUAACUGUGAAAGUUCACGUUGUCUUUUUUCAUGUACAAAAAUACCUAUUUUAUGCUCUUUUUUUUUCUCCUUUUCCUAAUCUGCUUGGUUCCCAGGGAAGCACUUCAGCAAAGUAAUAUUAAACUGUUUUUACAAUACCAACUUUGUUUCUAUAGCAUUGUUAUUCUUUUUAUGUAACCCAAUGGCACCUUAAGAUUGAUUUGACUAAAUAAUUGAUAUAAGGAAUUAAGGUAAAAAAGUAGUUUAGUAAACACAGAUGAUGCAAUUCUUCCUUAGGACUGCUAAAAUGACAAAUAAUUGCACUAAUAUAUUCUCAGUUCAUUGUGUUCUACCAAUGCUAGGUUAACAUUUCAGCCCCCUAAUUAUUAUUAUUAGUAUUUUUUUUAAUUUUUAUUCUUUUAAAUCCUACUUCUUCAAACGCAAACUGUAUAUAUGGCAAAUUAUGACUUUUUUGUGAAAAGUUCAUUUGGAAGUAGGAUCCAGGUAAUAAAAUUAAUACAAAUCAUCUUCUUAUGCUCUUUUUACCAUAUGCUAAAUUAUGUUUUUGUUUUGGGGGAAAAUAGGUCUGUGAAGAAGAAAUCCCUUCAGUUGCAGCGAUCUCAAUCCCCACCACCUUUGUUGGUGGGCUGGCACAAGACUAG
This 10745-nucleotide long non-coding RNA is filed under the name Pelobates cultripes (western spadefoot toad). Lineage: Eukaryota; Metazoa; Chordata; Amphibia; Anura; Pelobatidae. The record is from RNAcentral.